RNAcentral lists this long non-coding RNA (1346 nucleotides) under Homo sapiens (human). Its description in RNAcentral is "non-protein coding lnc-TROVE2-2:1". Lineage: Eukaryota; Metazoa; Chordata; Mammalia; Primates; Hominidae. The record is from RNAcentral.
UCUAAUUUAGGGCAAAGUAUUUUGGGAUAAUUUGUAAAAGCUUGUCCAUGACUCACUUUUCUUUUUAGUUCUUUAGCUUUAGGUUUAGUGUUAAAAAUGAAAACUAUAAGAAAUUUCAAGAGAACCUUCAAGUAGACCUACAAUUUUGUCCGUCCAAAAUCCCUUACUUUGGGUAAACUCCCUACCCCUACAACAUAAGUUCCCAAUGGAAUGUCUGUCAUAAUGCUUCCCUAACCUAGGCAUCAGCAGUGACCCAGGCUGGCCAAUAAGAGUAUGCCAUCUCCUUGGCACAGUGAUUGAUCCAGGGUAAGUUUAUGAACUAAACAGGGCUAAUCAGAUGGUUUCCUACAAUUUACAUAUACUUCCCUGGGAAGGAAAAGGAUACAGCCUUGAGCUUCCUGUAGCCACCUUUUCCAGUGUGUAUCAAGAGCUUACCCACAGAAGGAAGCCAAUAUCCAGCAAGAUGCGGAGCUGAAAGAUGAAAUCAUCUGAGUGCCUGGUUACAGUCGGGCGUUCAGCCUGCCCUUUGGACAUCCCAUUUAUAUGAGCCAAUAGAUUCUAUUUUACUUGACUAAUGUAAGUUAGGACACUUAGAAAAAGACCUAACACAAGGUUUUAUAUCACCACCUUUGCACUUGAUUCAUUCCUCUGAGGACUCAAUUUCCAGCAUCUUUUUUCUAAGAAUAAAGGCAAAAACCACUGUAUUCCACACUCAACUGGACUUCCUCCAAUCUUUUCCCCAUACCCCUUUAGUUAUUUUCCUUAUGUAGCCAUAACCCCUAAUAUUUCUAGUCAGCCAGUGCUUAAAAUUCUUCAUAAAGCAUUAUUUUAUACUUUACAAUUUCUCUGCUAGUAUCAUUUUGUGCUUUCUAACAUAGACUAGUUUCUAGUUCAGAGAUUUAAGUGAUGCUGUGCUACAUUUUCUUUGACUUAAUAAUUUGUCUGUGUGAAGACAAGCUUUUGGACUGUGAAACUGCAGCCAAAGUACAUGGUUUCCCUGAUGACAAUUUUCUCAAACUGCUGACAAAUUGCUUAGGGGAAAAUAGCUCCUCUAGUGCUAAAUUUGCAAACCUAAACCUAUUGAGGUAGCAAAUAUCACAUGCUUCAUUAAAAUAGUGAAGGGAAAUCAGUCAUAGGACAAUUAAUUGUGGAAACUUGCCAUUCGAGUGUAUAAUAAAUAAGCAUCUUGAAGACUCUGUAAGACUGCCUUUUUAUGCCCAUUUAAAUGUGUUCUAAGAAUCACAGUGACAAAAUUAGCUCAUCAACGAAUGAUUUUUGCAGCUCUAGAGUAAAAUUAUUCUGCAAAUGAGAAGCCCGUGACUUGGGUUAUAAAGCUAGUUUAAGUU